CGGAGGGAUCAUUAAUGAAUGGCUUUUGCCUUCAACUCUGUAAACCCGUGGAAGGAAGAUGUGCUUUGGUGCUCCGGCGCCUCGUUUAUGCGGUAAAGUAUUUGUCUGAAUCUAAAAGCAAGAAUUAAAACUUUCAACAAAGGAUCUCUUGGCUCUCGCAUCGAUGAAGAACGCAGCGAAGCGCGAAAUGUAGUGUGAAUCGCAGAACAUUGUGAAUCAUCGAAUCUUUGAACGCACAUUGCGCCUCCCGUUACUGGGAGGCAUGCCUGUCUGAGCGUCAUUUAAAACAUAGUACCCUGCCAGGGGGUCUGUCUUGGGCCUCGCCUGUGGGCGUAGCCUAAAAGCUAUCGGUCUAAAGAGCGGACGAGAUCCAUUGGGACUGACCGUUCUGUGACCUUAAACCUCUGACUUGACCUCAGAUCAGGUAGGGCUACCGCCUGAACUUAAGCAUAUCAAUAAGGCGAGGAACAGAAACCAACAGGGAUUCCCCUAGUAGUGGCGAGUGAAGCGGGAAAAGCUCAAGUUUGAAAUCUGAAGUUUACUUCAGAGUUGUAAGCUGAAGAGGUGUCGACCGACCUGGUCCGGGCCCAAUUUCCUUGGAACAGGAGGUCAUGGAGGGUGAGAACCCCGUCUGUGGCUCGGGUGCUGUGGUCCUUGUGUCGUGCCCUCGAAGAGUCGGGUUGUUUGGGAAUGCAGCUCAAAAUGGGUGGUAAAUUUCAUCUAAGGCUAAAUAUUGGCGAGAGACCGAUAGCAAACAAGUAGAGUGAUCGAAAGAUGAAAAGUACUUUGAAAAGAGAGUGAAACAGUACGUGAAAUUGUAGAAAGGGAAGCGUUUGGCAUCAGCCCAUGGCACCCCUCGAUCAUCUGGGCUUCUGCCUGGUGCACUUUCCAUCCGAUGGGUCAGCGUCAAUUUUGCUCCUCGGAUAAUGGCAAGGGAAAGGUGGCACCUUUACGGGUGUGUUAUAGUCUCCUGUCGCAUGCGAGGGGUGGGAUUGAGGAACUCAGCGCGCACCUUGGUGUCGGGGCUUCUGCCC
RNAcentral lists this ribosomal RNA (1034 nucleotides) under uncultured fungus. RNAcentral's name for it is "eukaryotic LSU rRNA". The stretch from base 411 to 1034 matches the Rfam family "Eukaryotic large subunit ribosomal RNA", at positions 1 to 614 of the family's 3401-position model. The record is from RNAcentral. Lineage: Eukaryota; Fungi.